GAGUUUGAUCCUGGCUCAGAUUGAACGCUGGCGGCAGGCUUAACACAUGCAAGUCGAGCGGAGUGAUGGUGCUUGCACUAUCACUUAGCGGCGGACGGGUGAGUAAUGCUUAGGAAUCUGCCUAUUAGUGGGGGACAACAUUUCGAAAGGAAUGCUAAUACCGCAUACGUCCUACGGGAGAAAGCAGGGGAUCUUCGGACCUUGCGCUAAUAGAUGAGCCUAAGUCGGAUUAGCUAGUUGGUGGGGUAAAGGCCUACCAAGGCGACGAUCUGUAGCGGGUCUGAGAGGAUGAUCCGCCACACUGGGACUGAGACACGGCCCAGACUCCUACGGGAGGCAGCAGUGGGGAAUAUUGGACAAUGGGCGCAAGCCUGAUCCAGCCAUGCCGCGUGUGUGAAGAAGGCCUUAUGGUUGUAAAGCACUUUAAGCGAGGAGGAGGCUACUGAAGUUAAUACCUUCAGAUAGUGGACGUUACUCGCAGAAUAAGCACCGGCUAACUCUGUGCCAGCAGCCGCGGUAAUACAGAGGGUGCAAGCGUUAAUCGGAUUUACUGGGCGUAAAGCGCGCGUAGGCGGCUAAUUAAGUCAAAUGUGAAAUCCCCGAGCUUAACUUGGGAAUUGCAUUCGAUACUGGUUAGCUAGAGUGUGGGAGAGGAUGGUAGAAUUCCAGGUGUAGCGGUGAAAUGCGUAGAGAUCUGGAGGAAUACCGAUGGCGAAGGCAGCCAUCUGGCCUAACACUGACGCUGA
This 746-nucleotide ribosomal RNA is filed under the name uncultured bacterium. RNAcentral describes it as "bacterial SSU rRNA". It matches the Rfam family "Bacterial small subunit ribosomal RNA", at positions 9 to 749 of the family's 1533-position model. The record is from RNAcentral.